This 312-nucleotide unclassified non-coding RNA is filed under the name plant metagenome. RNAcentral's name for it is "partial contains 5.8S ribosomal RNA, internal transcribed spacer 2, and large subunit ribosomal RNA". The stretch from base 1 to 105 matches the Rfam family "5.8S ribosomal RNA", at positions 50 to 154 of the family's 154-position model. The record is from RNAcentral.
GAAAUGCGAUAAGUAAUGUGAAUUGCAGAAUUCCGUGAAUCAUCGAAUCUUUGAACGCACAUUGCGCCCUCUGGCAUUCCGGGGGGCAUGCCUGUCCGAGCGUCAUUACGCACCCUCAAGCCCGGCUUGUGUGAUGGGCCCCGGCGUCUCGUUCGCGAGACGGGCCCGAAAGGCAGCGGCGGCGUCGACUCGAUGAGCCCGAGCGUGUGGGGACUUCUGUCACACGUUCGCGGUGCGGACCGGCGCCUGCUUGACUUUUCUGAUUAUCCAGGUUGACCUCGGAUCAGGUAGGGAUACCCGCUGAACUUAAGC